CCUACGGGAGGCAGCAGUGGGGAAUAUUGCGCAAUGGGCGAAAGCCUGACGCAGCGACGCCGCGUGAGGGAUGAAGGUCUUCGGAUCGUAAACCUCUGUCAGCAGGGAAGAACGGUCACUGUGCUAAUCAGCAGUGAAUUGACGGUACCUGCAAAGGAAGCACCGGCUAACUCCGUGCCAGCAGCCGCGGUAAUACGGAUGGUGCGAGCGUUAAUCGGAAUUACUGGGCGUAAAGCGCUCGUAGGCGGUAUGUCAAGUCAAGGGUGAAAUCCCCGCGCUCAACGUGGGAACUGCCGUUGAAACUGGCAAACUGGGGUGUGUGAGAGGAGAGUGGAAUUCCAGGUGUAGGAGUGAAAUCCGUAGAUAUCGGGAGGAACAUCAGUGGCGAAGGCGACUAUCUGGCACAUAACUGACGCUGAGGAGCGAAAGCGUGGGUAGCAAACAGGAUUAGAUACCCGUGUAGUC
This 465-nucleotide ribosomal RNA is filed under the name uncultured bacterium. RNAcentral describes it as "partial 16S ribosomal RNA". It matches the Rfam family "Bacterial small subunit ribosomal RNA", at positions 338 to 795 of the family's 1533-position model. The record is from RNAcentral.